RNAcentral lists this ribosomal RNA (917 nucleotides) under uncultured archaeon. RNAcentral's name for it is "bacterial SSU rRNA". It matches the Rfam family "Archaeal small subunit ribosomal RNA", at positions 1 to 923 of the family's 1478-position model. The record is from RNAcentral.
UUCCGGUUGAUCCCGCCGGACCUGACUGCUAUCGGAUUGAUACUAAGCCAUGCGAGUCAUUGUAGCAAUACAAGGCAGACGGCUCAGUAACGCGUAGUCAACCUACCCUAUGGACGGGAAUAACCUCGGGAAACUGAGUAUAAUGCCCGAUAGAACACUAUACCUGGAAUGGUUUGUGUUUCAAAUAAUUUAUUGCCGUAGGAUGGGACUGCGGCCUAUCAGUUUGUUGGUGAGGUAAUGGCCCACCAAGACUAUUACAGGUACGGGCUCUGAGAGGAGUGGCCCGGAGAUGGGUACUGAGACACGGACCCAGGCCCUAUGGGGCGCAGCAGGCGAGAAAACUUUGCAAUGUGCGAAAGCACGACAAGGUUAAUCCUAGUGGUUUCUGCUAAAGGAACCUUUUGACAGUCCUAGAAACACUGUUGAAUAAGGGGUGGGCAAGUUCUGGUGUCAGCCGCCGCGGUAAAACCAGCACCUCAAGUGGUCAGGAUGAUUAUUGGGCCUAAAGCAUCCGUAGCCGGCUUCAGUAAGUUUUCGGUUAAAUCUGUACGCUCAACGUACAGGCUGCCGGGAAUACUGCAGAACUAGGGAGUGGGAGAGGUAGACGGUACUCGGGAGGAAGUGGUAAAAUGCUUUGAUCUUUCGAUGACCACCUGUGGCGAAGGCGGUCUACCAGAACACGUCCGACGGUGAGGAGAUGAAAGCUGGGGGAGCAAACCGGAUUAGAUACCCGGGUAGUCCCAGCUGUAAACUAUGCAAACUCAGUGAUGCAUUGGCUUGUGGCCAAUGCAGUGUUGCAGGGAAGCCGUUAAGUUUGCCGCCUGGGAAGUACGUACGCAAGUAUGAAACUUAAAGGAAUUGGCGGGGGAGCACCACAAGGGGUGAAGCCUGCGGUUCAAUUGGAUUCAACGCCGGGA